This 689-nucleotide ribosomal RNA is filed under the name uncultured Pseudomonadota bacterium. Its description in RNAcentral is "bacterial SSU rRNA". It matches the Rfam family "Bacterial small subunit ribosomal RNA", at positions 65 to 750 of the family's 1533-position model. Lineage: Bacteria; Pseudomonadati; Pseudomonadota. The record is from RNAcentral.
AACAGGAAACAGCUUGCUGUUUCGCUGACGAGUGGCGGACGGGUGAGUAAUGUCUGGGAAACUGCCUGAUGGAGGGGGAUAACUACUGGAAACGGUAGCUAAUACCGCAUAACGUCGCAAGACCAAAGAGGGGGACCUUCGGGCCUCUUGCCAUCAGAUGUGCCCAGAUGGGAUUAGCUAGUAGGUGGGGGAACGGCUCACCUAGGCGACGAUCCCUAGCUGGUCUGAGAGGAUGACCAGCCACACUGGAACUGAGACACGGUCCAGACUCCUACGGGAGGCAGCAGUGGGGAAUAUUGCACAAUGGGCGCAAGCCUGAUGCAGCCAUGCCGCGUGUAUGAAGAAGGCCUUCGGGUUGUAAAGUACUUUCAGCGGGGAGGAAGGGAGUAAAGUUAAUACCUUUGCUCAUUGACGUUACCCGCAGAAGAAGCACCGGCUAACUCCGUGCCAGCAGCCGCGGUAAUACGGAGGGUGCAAGCGUUAAUCGGAAUUACUGGGCGUAAAGCGCACGCAGGCGGUUUGUUAAGUCAGAUGUGAAAUCCCCGGGCUCAACCUGGGAACUGCAUCUGAUACUGGCAAGCUUGAGUCUCGUAGAGGGGGGUAGAAUUCCAGGUGUAGCGGUGAAAUGCGUAGAGAUCUGGAGGAAUACCGGUGGCGAAGGCGGCCCCUGGACGAAGACUGACGCUCAG